GACCUACGACCAUACCAUGCUGAAUACACCGGUUCUCGUCCGAUCCCCGAAGUAAAGUAGCAUCGGGCCCGGUUAGUACUAAGAUGGGAGACCGCCUGGGAAUACCGGGUGUUGUAGGCUU
RNAcentral lists this ribosomal RNA (121 nucleotides) under Paracentrotus lividus (common urchin). Lineage: Eukaryota; Metazoa; Echinodermata; Echinoidea; Camarodonta; Echinidae. The record is from RNAcentral.